Homo sapiens (human) is the source of this 17424-nucleotide long non-coding RNA. RefSeq lists it as uncharacterized. The transcript is spliced from 2 exons. Lineage: Eukaryota; Metazoa; Chordata; Mammalia; Primates; Hominidae. The record is from RefSeq and is a predicted model, not a curated record.
GGACGCCGGCCACCACCGCCCCGCGCCCCCUGCCCCUCUGCGUUCGGUGAGUUAUUCCUAGCGAGAAGGCUGCGAGUUCUGGCCACAGUUGGACUUUUCCCAAGUUCCGCCCUUGCCCGAUUAAUUAUAGAAAACACAAAGGCAGUUAAGGGGCCAGGAAUGAGCGGCUGGAUUUGUGUGUGUUUAUGUGUGGGCUCCCUGGUUACAAUGGACCAAUAUAAUUUUAUAGGUGCUUUAUGUUUAACCAGCCUUUCCCACUUUCUAUUUUCAUAAGAGGCUGGCUCUUGGUCUCAACCUGGCUAUGUGCUUUGACCUCUCUACAUCCAAGCAGACAUGAACUUGCUGUGGACUUCUCUUUUCCUCCUCCUUCCACCCAGGGCUAGGUCCUUAGACCUUUGCAGAUAUGCAGUUGAUCAUCACUGGUAGUGAGAUGGGUUUGAGUAAAGCCACACAUGAGCAGAAAAGGGAUAGUCUGUUUACCAACACACUAUGGCUCCUGGGCAGAGGGAAGUCACGGUGAUGCAAGACUGUCUUCAUCCUUGCUCUUUCCCUCUUAAUAUCCCUUCACCUCUGACAGUGUAACCCCACCCCUGAUCAUUGCUUCCUCCAUGAAGGCCCACGUCCAGUGGUUCUAUCAGCAUGAGUGUGUCGUGGGAGUAGGCGCGUGCACUUGGACGGAGCUUAGCAAUGUUUCAUCUCACAAGUACCUGCUUGCCUGUAUGGGCAGUAGCAGAUGAGCUGGUGGCCCCAAAACUGGUGACGUCAGGGAGAGAUAGCAGGGUCAUGGGAUGGUGGCCACAUCAGGUCCUGGGACUGUCCUUGGAGACUCUUGGCUGGGGGAGAGCCAUGUCUCCUUUCCUCCUAUUUUGUAUUUUAGAGACUAGUUAAGAUACAAAGUGAGUUUCUGGUCCAGAUGAGAUAAAAUGGUAGUUUCCAAGUAAUGAAGUAGAAUGGCAGGCUAUAGGGCCAUCUUAACUAGGGUGACCAUACAAUAGAUCAUCCAAACUGCAACACUUGUGAAAGUCAAAGGGGGUUCAGUUCAUAAUUAUGCCUAGACAACAGGUGUAAACAAGGGCAUAUGGCCACCCUCACCUUAACCAUGUGGUUCGCAGUCUGCCGUCUUCCCUAAAAGCUGGGAGGAAGUUGCCGCUAAGGCCACCUCUACAUGCAGCCGGCAGGGCUCCAUCCCCACCCACCCUCUCCUCUGCAUGUGAGUUGCACUCACUGCAACAUGAGCCCUCCCUGGCCAGCCUGGGCUGCUUCUCUCCUGCUCCAGGCCCUGAUCAGGUUCCCAUUCCUGGAUCGCCCGCACUCCCCUGGUGACGAAUUCCCGCAUUACCUGAGGGAUUUGCACAUGGGGCAUGUUCCUCGCGGGCCGGAAUGUCCUGGGAGCGUGUGGAGAGUGGCGGGCAGAGAAGCCUGUCUGCCAGAGAGCACCCGGCACAGGGGAGUCAGGGACAGCAUCAGCCUAUGGUCUCGGCUUUGGGUUUUGUUUUUCAAAAAAGGGCCAGGAUGGGGCAAGAGUUCUAGACAGUGGUUGCCAGCUCCAAGUAACCCAGCCAGACCCGGUGGCAGACAGGCACCCAGGGCAUGGGGCACUUGGGGAGGGCAGCUGGCUGCAGGGGCCAUCUCAGAUCGGGUAUUUCUUCCAACCUGCCGUGGUAAGGGUGGCCUCACCCACAAGUGUCCAGCGGACCAUCAAUCCUGGGGAACAGUCAGCCACAAAGGGGGCCCUAUGGCCCCUGCACUCACCUCUCAAUCAACCACAACGUGCACUGGUUUAGGACAGGCUCCAGAUGUCCCAGCAGGAAGGGAACCUGUUUGGCUCCGUUUAACUCAACAAAGUCCUCUGCAUUCCCCAGUUAAGAACUACUUGUGGGAUUAGUGUGCUGAGAGACAGUUUGGCAAACACUACAGCAGGGAAGAAAACACAAAAUUGAAAGCUGGGAAGCAAGGAUUCCAGACCUGAUUCGUUUGUCAUCCGUUGGAGCUUGGCCUCUAUAGUUCCCUGGGAAAGUGCAAGCAACAGCCUUCAUCAGUGUACCCUCGAUUUUGCACUACUGGAGAUGAGCCGGGGUCUCGGGCAGGGGCACGAGGGACCCCGUGUGAGCCUUUCCCUUUCUCAUGCUCCUGAGGCCUUGCCACUAGUAGGAAACUGUCCUGGGUCCCCCUGAGUCCUCACAAACCCACUCACCCCAUAUAGUGGCUCCAUAGUAGGUCUGUCAUGAGUGAUGCAGGCUUUGGGACCAGCCCAAGAGACCUAGUUCUGCAGGUGCCACCUUGUCUCUGGAGCAGAGAACUGGCACUCCACAUCCUGCUCCCCACCCCCCAUCAGCCAGGCUGAACCUCCCAGUACACCCUGCAUGGACGAACUCUCCCCCAGAAUUCACUUCUCUGUCCCACUCUGAGCAUGCACCUCCCCCUGAAGCAUCUCACACUCCUACUUCAGGUGGUGCUAGGGCCCCACUUUCCAGGAAACACUGGCCCUUCUCCUGUCCCAGCACCUCUCAUCCUGCAGCCACAAUGUUCAGUCACCCUCCUAGUAUUCACUGAGUAUUUCUAGUGUGCCAGGCACCAGCCUGGGGACUGAGGAUACAGCAGUCAGUCACUGGGCACAGCUUUGUCCUUAAAAGGUUUGCAGUGAAGGAGUUGAACUUAAACCAAUGGCCACAUGAAUCCACAGUGACAAACUGGGGUGCGUGCCGUUACUGCCCCCCAUCUUGGGCUCUGGGAGGUGGGAACCCCUCUACUUUCUGCACCUCUGUAUCCCAGGGGCUGCAUAGUGCCUGGUGCUGGAGGGCCCUCGGUCGUCAAGGAGAAAUGGAUGUCUGAAAAGGAAGGCGCUGGAAGCCUCCCUUCUCCCGGGCUAGGGGCCUGCAGGGACAGCUGAAGUCCAGGGCAAGAAGGGAACCCCCCACCCAAGGCAGUCAUGGCUCACAUUCUGAGGUUUCAGAGCAGCUCCUCCUCUCCUCCCCCACAGUGGAGGAAGCCAGCCAUUUGCCUGGGUGGAGUAUCUGCGGGUCAGGUCUUUAGAAAUCUAAAUGUCCACAUAGGCCACCACUCACCCCUGUUUACCACCUGCAGUCCCAGCUUUCAUGUGAGCCGAGGAGGGAGCCCCUUGAGAGUAUAACCAGAGGCUUGAUCUGCGUUCUCAGACCUCCUGGGUGGCUAGACAAGGCCCUUUCAGCUGCCAUGGGAAGGCGGGUGGACUGUGCUGGUGCGGGGCUGCCCUGAUCCCACAAUGGCCCCCUGACUCCAAGGCCCAGAGGACACCUGAACCACAUCUGGCUGAGCCUCCUCAGGCCCUGUGCCUUCUCUCUGCAGCCAAGGAGACAGAGGUGGAGUGGGCUUUUCUGGACAGCAUAAUUCAUGGCCCCUCACCACCCAAACCCGAGAGGUGCAAGAAAAGAAAGCGAUGGGCUGGGCUCAGCAAAACCUGCUUUCCCUCUUAACACCUCCAGGGAUGUCUUUUUUCACCUGACUUCAUUUUCUGGCAAACUAUGUUUGCAUCCCUUCCUGGCAGGCAGUUCUAGACCCGGCCUGCACAGCCCUGCCCCCUGCUUCCUCCCUGAGGUUUGCACUCAGCUCCAUCCACUCAAGGCCCAUCUGGCUCUCGGUCCCCAACCAGCACCUGGUUGGGUUUGGCAGCCUCCGAGAUGCCCCCAUAGGAUCAGGUUCAGCUACCACUUCCACACACAAGUUCUGGGCCCCGGCUUAGCAAUGCAGGCUACAAAGGGGCCAGGGUGUGAAGUGCCUCCUUAGCACAGCUCCCAGCAGUGGUCUUUACACUUGGUUCUCCCUGGCUGACUUCUCUUGCUGCCAGGGCUUCAGUGAUGGGAGCCGGCAGCAUGGAGGGAGAGGGGCAACCGCAGAUGUGGUAAACAUUCUGCAGCAGAGGUCUGAGGGCUCUUGCCAAGCUGGGGUGCAGCCCCCAUGGAGUGGGAAGUGCAGGGUGGGAGAAGGGAGAAGGUUUAAGGUCCUUUAACCCUUCCCAGCCAGACUCAACACUGCUAUCUCAAGGAACCCAGAAGCACCAUUCUCAUGAGCCAUGACAGUGCUGGAGACCUUGGGGUCUCAGAGGACCCCGUCACCAAUCCCACAGCUCCAAAAUGGUCUUCAGUUUUUACAUCCAAGCCAAUUCCUUUUUACCUGAAAUGUGGCCCUUUUAUUAGUAGUGUCCUUGUAAGUAAAAUUCUAUUUAUUAAACAGACAUUUCUUUUUUUUUUUACUUUUUAUUUUAUUUUAUUUUUUAAUCAUUUUUUCUUUUUUUUAUAUACUUUAAGUUUUAGGGUACAUGUGCACAACAUGCAGGUUAGUUACAUAUGUAUACAUGUGCCAUGUUGGUGUGCUGCACCCAUUAACUCGUCAUUUAACAUUAGGUAUAUCUCCUAAUGCUAUCCCUCCCCCCUCCCCCCACCCCACAACAAAACAGACAUUUCUUAAUGUGCCAAGCAUGUUGUCUUUAUUAGGUCAGGGGUUCUCAAACCGGAAUGUGCAUAUGAAUCACGUGGGAUUUUGUUUAAAUGCAGAUUCUGAUGCAAGAGGCCUGGGAUGGGCUUGAGAUUCUGCGUUUCAAACAUGCUCCUGGUAGAUGCUAGUGCUCUAGUCCAGGGACCACAGUGGGAAGUCACAAGGCAUUGAAUGACUGAUGGUUUGUAGGUGGUGGCUCUGUUUCAUAGAUGGGCAAACUAAGGCACAGUCUGUCAUCAGUGUGAUGGUCAGAGUGGAGGUCUGGCCUGGGAAUAUUGCAUUUCAGAUACUGGCUCUUCUUUAGGUCAGUGGUUCUCAGCCUCGCUAUGCAUGAGAAUCAUGAGAACACAGCAGGCAGGGGGCCUACCCCUAAUCAGUUGAAUUAGAUUCUCCAAGGACGCAACCUGGGCAUUCGUUAGCCAGGGUGGAACACCACUGUUGAGGAGACACCCCAGAGACACCGAACUGGUUCAUCGCGGCCACUUAUGAAUCAGCUGGCUCUGCCUGUCAUGCCGCGAACCAGUCAAGAAAUACCUGCCAGGUGUUGGGCUCUCUGCUGAGCCAUGGGGGAAAACUCCGAGUCUGAGCUGGCAGGAGAACCCCAUUACACAGGAGGCCUCAGCUGCUGAGAACAUGCCUUCCACUCCCCCAGCCUCAGGCUCUUCUUGUCAUCACCCUGAACCUCCUCCUUGAUGAGAUGAAAGCCACCUCUUCUCUCCCGCUGCCUCCAUUUCUCUCUGUCCUCAGCUCCUUUUCCCAUUUUCCUUUUCCUUGGCCUGGGAUGUGUGUCGGAACAGCUAUCACAUGUUUUAGGAAAAGGGCCUCAUUCUCACCCACGGUGCCAGGCUGUACCAGAGGCUGGGCCACACUUCGCAGUUCAGCCUGUCUCCCCAUACACCUUCCCACCAAGGUUCCCAACUUCUCUGGCUUUGCAGGGUCCUGACUGCAGACUAGACUGACUAACUAGAUGAUGUGCAUUGAUUGUUUCCGACUUCCAGGAGAAUGUGGGGUGCCCAGGGUGCCUGGGUUAGAGAAGGAACCAAAAGUUUCCUUGGAUCCUCAUCAGGGAAUUGUGGUGUGAUACAGGGCGGUGAAGGGGCUCCAGUUUCACAGAGAAGUGAAGAACGAGUGUGCCUCUUUUUAUGGGACCUUUGGAAUGACAGGAAUGGAAGCCUGAGCCCUCUCCACCCAGCACUGCCCUGUCACUGCCCCGGGACGUCCACGUGGGCUCUGGGAAUGCUCCUUUGCUGAGACAGGCUUGGGUAGUACAAGUUCAAGCCCUCCUCUGUUGAAAUGUGUGUGCUCUGUUUAGCCAAGAGGUGUCUGCAUCCGAGCUAUGCAGAGCAAAGUAUUAUUAGAGCCGGCAUCAGUGUGUCUGUAACUGAACCCAGCUCUCCCUAGCAACCGUUGCCAACAACACAUCUAACAGAAGGAUGCGAUACCUUUUUUUGAAAAAAAAAAGUUUGUCUCAACCAAGUCAUAAACACAGCAGGCCUGUUGUGAAAAGACAACACAAAAUCAGAAUCUGGUGUGUGACCAGAUUUCAAAAUAAAUUGCUCUUCUCUAGCACCUUCUAGAAGACAGCCUGUUAAAAAGCUGACCUUGAGCUAAAGAGCGGAGAAACUCUUCAGAGUUUCUGGCUGGGUCAUCAUCAAGCAUUGUGUUUUGGGCUUUUCAUACAUAGACGCUCAGUUGAGUGGUGACUCUGUGGGAUCUCUGGGAAUGACUUUAGCACAGAAGGGGCACUCAAGAUUUUCUGGCUUGGCUUUCCUUAUCAGUGAAUCUCUCAAGUGUGAGACAAGCCUGAAGAUGUAUCUUACCCAUACCUCAUCCUGGAUGUGUGUGUUGCCCCCACUUCUACCCGUUUCUCCCAUCCUCCUGCCCUUCUCCUUGUCCCAUGUUUUCAGGCUUGGGAAGAAAACUGGGCCAUUCCUCUAACUCUCUUCCUAAGGGGAAAACCUCGUUCUCUUGUGAUUCUCUCAAGGUCUCUGGAAAAUCAAGUCAUUCCCCUUUGUCAGAAGUUUGAAGUUCCUAACUCUUAUCUUUUACAUAGGAAGGGAGGAGGGAGACUGAUAUCGAUUCCUGGAGUCUAAGUUUUAAACUCCUAGAUGGCCAGAAUCCUGGCUGAGUUAUCGGCUGUCCCCAGCUCCUGGCUUCAUGGUUCAUAGUAGAUGCUCAGGAAAUGGCUGUGGAAGGGAGGCAUGGAGCCAUCAGUCAUGGGUACCAAUGCUCUCUGGGGCAUGAGGGGCUUUGAAACUCUUCUGAGCACUUUCCUGUGUGUGAAUCGGAGGUAGGUUCCAGGGCAGGGAUCCCUCCCCAGGCUUAUACAUGGGGAAAGUGGCUCAGUGAGGCUGCAAGAUUGACCCAGCAUCACGAGGCUAGCUGGAGCUUCUGGAUGCCAUGCCACAUCCUAAAUAGGGUGUAAGGCUCAAAAACUUGGGAAAAUCAAGAAUCCAUAUCAUGGUUGGGAGCAAUGGCUCAUGCCUGUAAUCCCAGCACUUUGCAAGGCCAAGGCAGGAGGAUUGCUUGAGGCCAGGAGUUUGAGACCAGCCUGGGCAACAUAAAAAGACCCCAUCUUUGAAAAAAAAAAUAGGCAGGUGUGGCAGCAUUGCUACUGAAGCCCCAGCUACUCCAGAGGCUGAGGCAGGAGGAUCCAUUCAGGCCAGGAGUCAAGGCUGCAGAGAGCUAGGUCCCUGCUGUUGCGCUCCAGUGUGAGCGACAGAGUGAGACUCUAAAAAACAAAAAAGAAUCCAUCUCAGGAAGUCAUCAAUUGGGAUUUCAAAAUCCACCCUGUGGAAUAAUCCCACUGUGUUUCCAGGGGUCGCUGAGUCUCUGAGCUUUCUGGGCCUCUGGAGGUCAAGGGUACCUGAAGAAACCCCUGCACUCUCCAUUCGCCCUAGUCCCUGUGAAACCACACAGGCUGCUGGCCCCAGUUCCCAUCUCCUCCUUGCAUCCUCUCCCUCUUCUCAGACCCCCUCCCUCAUUUCUGCACACCCACCGCUGAGCCGAUGUGCACUCCAGGCAUGUAAACUAAUUUUAAUGUUGGCCCAAGCCAGGCACACCCAGGGAUAGAAGCACAUUGUUCUGUGCAUUCCAAAGCUUGAGCAAAAGCCCUGGCCAUACCCACAUCGAGCUCCCCUCCACUAGUUGCUAGAAAUCAGAAAGGCUGAAGCAAAGGGCCAGAGGCAGUGCAAGCCGCUUUCCCCGUGGGCAGGCUGCACGGAAGCUUGCAAAAGCCCAGAAAAGGGCUGUUUUUCUAAAAAUGGCUGGCAUCUGAGCUCCCGCCCUGCCCCCUGUGGGCCAUCUGUCCCCAUGCUGAAGCCCGUGCCCUGCAAGGGACAUGCAGAGUUGGCACACACAUUUCCCUGAAGGUGGGCACCAACAGGCCUCGUCAGGCUGGCCUGGCAUCACAGGAGGCCAGCAGUCACAGGAGCUUGACCCCUGCCCAGGAUUCUGUGGCAGCCCUGGGCUCCCCCAACAGGAAGAGCCAAUGCCUGACUCCUAUCCAUGUUCUUUGCCCCUGCGGCCAGAGCCACAGUGGAUAGGAGCCGUGUGCCUCGUUGCCAAUCUUGUUGUCUGCACUUGCUUUGGGAUGAGUAAAUAUGACCUGCUUUUCUCCAAUCUUUAUUUCUUCUCAACGCUUAUUGAGCACCUGCUAUAUACCAUGCACUGUGGCAGGUCCUGUAUGUCUCUGUUCAUUUGCCCUCCACUGUGGUCUUUCAAUCUGUUUGUGCAAAUCUUAAGCAUUGCAUUCAAGGACCCAGGUGGGAUACCUCAAUGUCAGUGCUUAGACCAGAUCGCCCUGACUGUUCAGUUUGGGUGGGGCGGGGGAACAUGUGGCUUCCAGGAGUGCUAAGCCUGUGGUUCUCUCUGGAGCUUUGAAGUGCUCAGUGAGACAGAGCAGCCGAUGACCGGAUCAUAAACAAGCAUUUUGAUUUUUGAAUCUGAAAAUAAGCGAGGAAAGAAAAUGACCACUGAUCCUCAGCCAGUCCUGGAAAGUGCCCAGAACAGCAGCAUGCCAGGUGUCCAGUCAUCAUAUCAUCAGGGGGGCCUGGGUGCUGCUGCUGUGCCAACUACUGCCCCAGGCCCCCAGGGACCAGUGAGCUUCCUGCAAAACCAAGUGCCCAGCUUCCUGCCUCUUUGCCACUGCGCCACUGUGCCACUGCGCCACUGCGCCACUACUGUGUUCUUCAAAAUCACAGAGAGCCCCGCUCCUGAGAAAGCCCAAAGUGCCUUUCUGUGCACGGCAUGGGCUUUUACAAGUCUCAUGGGCAGUCUACUGCAGGCCUUGUCAGAGACUCUAGAUGUGCAGAGGCUGAGGGAGCCUUGGACAAAAGUCACUCCUUUCCCGUGAAAAGUGGCCAUUGCCCUGUGUUGUUAGGAGCGUGGGUGGCUCAGGAGGGGAGAGCAAGACCAGCCUGCAGCUUCAUGAAUCAGGUCAGCUGGGCCAUCUGGAGCAGACAGGUGUGGGUCGUGCCCCCGAAUCUCAUUUCUCUAGACAGGAUUUCUUGCCCUGAGGCAGCAACGCUGAGGCCUGAGGAGUAGCAAACCUGUGCAGUAGCAUCGAUUGCUGCCUCGAUGCUGAUCUUGAGCAUUUAAAACAUGUCUCUGCACCCACGUUUCCGUCCUGCAAGGGAUGAUUGGGUUGUGGUAGAGCUUAAAUGAGGUAAUGCAUGCACGGACCCCAGCUCUGAGCCACACCACUCGGAUGGCUCCAUCAGUGUGGGUGCCCUGCCCUGGUGGGAUGAACUGGGAGGCCCUUCUAACUUUAUCCCAUCCUAGAUUCCCAAAGACCACCCCAUGCCUCAGUCUUGGGCAGCAUUUCCAUUUCCCCCCCCUACGCUGAUUAAAUGUGGAACAAUGAGGGCAGGCAAUGAGUGCUUUUAGACUAUUGUCUUCCUGGGCGGUGGGCCCAGGAUUGACAGGUGUACUCUUCCUCCUAGUCAAAUCUGCCUCCUCCAGGAAACCUUCCCUGAUCUCCCAGCCCAGGGACCUCACCUUCCUCUGACUCUUGAACAUUUACCAUGUGUCCCUUUCAUGAAGUCUUCUGGGCUCCCCUGUUUAAGCUUUUCUUAUCUGAGACUUGUAUCUGUGGAUGUCUUGGGGCAAAGAAUGCGUCUGGGUCAUCUUUGUGUCCCACCACCAUACUGGUACCCACAAGGUAUUCAUCAGGCAUCAGCUGGCUGGCUCCAGGAGCUUCCUUCACUGGGGAGGAAGGAGCAUGGAUAGGCAGGCAUGGGAAUAGCACAGGCCACAGCCACAAAAGGGAAUGGCCUGGGGUUUUCUCCCUCUCGCUUCUGGGCCAGGAGAGCUUUACCCAGGUCAGGAAUUAUUUCACCAUCACCCGUGUCCCUUGCCAGACCGUGUCCCCUUCCCUGCAUGCCCUCACCCCCCACCCAGGGUUCAUUUUCCCUGCUAAAUCCCCUGAUAGAACUUGGCCGGGCACUGCCCUGUCUGAGGCUGCCACGCCGAAGCAGGCCCUGCAGAUAAGUGGGUUACCGGAGAAGGCCAGCUCGGGUGUCCCAGGCCCCAGAGGGUCACCCCUGGCUGGCUGGCAGCUCACCCCCAGCACCUCCUCCUCCUCCUUCCCCGGAGCCAGGCAGGCAGGAGACAGCAGAUCCUUCCCCCCAGCUCUGUGAGCGGCCGGCCCCCAGCCGCCGCGGGGAAUCUGAGCUAUGCUAAGCGGCUCCAGAUCGCAGCAUCUCUGCCCUGCCCGGGCACGGCCGGCCCAGACAGGGCGCCUCUACCUGCCGUGGCUGCCGCUGGAAAGCUGGCACCGCCUGGGCUGAUGGAAAAAAUCUCCCUGCGGGUUAUGUAACUGCUCACCGCCCUGUCCCUGGCUCCCCAGGGAGGCUCCCAGCCACUACCAAGAGAGAGCAGUGGCCCCUGGGCAGGAAGGAGACCACAGAGGGUCACUCUUUCAAAAGGAAGAAAAUAGUGUUGCGUUAUCUGAGGUCCUCCUCUGGAACCAGCCUGUGCAUGGCGCCAAGGUGUUUCCUGAAAAUGCUUAAGGAGCUCAGAGGCCUGCCCCAGUAUUAUAGCAAGAAGAGAGCUAAACCUAGCGGGAGGGAGUGGCCACAGAGGAGGAAGAGGGCAGGACAGCUUUGUUACUGUUUUUCUUUUCUUUUCUUUUUGGCAAAUUAUUAUUGCAGUAAAAUAUACCAUAAAAUUCACCAUCUGAACUAGUUUUAAGUGCACAGUUCAGCAGUACCCCGCAUACCUACAAUGUUGGACAAUGCCCAUGACCAUCCCCCGGCACCCCACCAAACCCUCUCAUCACCCCAAACAAAAGCCAUGUACCCACCAUAACUCCCCUACAGCAAUAACUCCCCUACAGCAAUAACUCCCCUACAGCAAUGCCUCCCCUCCAUCUUCCAUCUCCAUGAAUUCACCCACUCUACAAAUAGCACACAUGGGAUAUCAUACAAUAUUUUUCUUUUUGUGCCUGGCUUAUUUCACUUCACAUCAUGGUUUCCAGGUUUAUUCAUGUGUCAGAAUUCCCUUCUUUUUCAUGGCUGACUAAUAUUCCAUUUUAUGUCUAUACCACAUUUUGUUUAUCCAUUUAUCUGUCAAUGGGCACUUGAUUUUCUUCCACCUUUUGACUAUUGUGAUUCAUGCUGAUAGGAGCAUGCAUGCACAAAUAUCUGUUUGAGUCCCUGCUUUUGAUUCUUUGGGGUAUAUACCUAGAAGUGGAAUUGCUGGAUCAUAUGGAAAUUUUAUCUUUAGCUUUUUGAGUAUCUGCCAAACUGUUUCCAGGAAGGGUGUUUUUGAUGGGGGAAAUAUCAUGAACCAAGAGCCAAAGAAAUGACACAACUGAGGGACAAUAAGGACACUGCCUUACUGAAAUUCAGCUGAGAGCUGGAGGAAGUCUAUAAGGGGGACCGACUAAGAGGCAGAAGGAUCUGGACUUUAUAAAGUGGGACUCAGGGAGCCAUUGUGGGUUCUUGAGAUGUAGAGUUCCAGGAUCAAUUAAAAAUCAUAGACCAGUGUAGACUUGCAGGAAGGAUCUAUAGAUCAUCCAGUCCAACCCCCUCGUAUUACAGUUGAGAGACUUGAGGCCUGGAGAGGUUGAAAGAGGCCAUGAAGACAUGUUGAUAGGUCAUAGGAUGUUGGACUUAAAGAUGUUUUACAUCAGAGAACCAGGGGUUCUAGGUAGCCACGUGGUCUCUUGUGGAGAGGGAGCAUAUCCAGGCUUAAGCCUGCCCCUCAAAGACCUGAGCUGUGAUGGCAGGCCUCAUUUCCCUGCCCUACUCUCAGGAUCCUGCUCUCUGGCCCCUGGCACAUGGAACUGUGGCAUUUCCACCACCACCCCCACCAGCCAGAGCCAGGAGCUGGGGUUGCCUGCCAUGGGGAACUGUGCUCCCCUAGCGCUGGUCCCCUUCCUUCAGUAAGUGCCAUGGUGGGCUCCAAGAGCUUCUGGGACAAGUCAGUGGGCAUCUUCGAACCAGAGCCCCUGGGUGAGCAGGCUUCCCCAGGGGUACAUAGCCUGCAUUCCAGAGAGGGCCCCUAACAUUGGCCUGUGGGCCGCUGAUAGGAAGAAUGGAUAGAGACUCCGCACAGGGUGCCCCACCCCCGGCCCUGGUGCCCCUCACCAUGCUGCUGUGGGCUUAUCUCCUUGUUGCCCUUCGCCCAUACCAACCUGCCUGAGCUGCGUUUCUGAUGCCUAUAAUGAACCAGAAGGGAGUUGAGGGGACAGAGGGGGAGAGGAACAGGAAGAGGAGAUGACAGGACAACUCUUUCAACAGCCAGCAGGAAUGCCACACUUGGCCUUCAACCCUCCGCUCUAAGAGUAUUUAUACCCACAGUGUUCAGGGUGGCCAGGUUCCACCUUGUCUAGAUAAAGAGCAGGCCCCCUUACGGAGACAGAGGUCUCCCCAGCUCCCCUCCAGACAGCCACCAAGAGGUCAGGAACACACAGAGUGCACGGCGCAGUGCAUGGAAGGGAGGCGCUGUUGCAGGGGCAGCCAUCAGUGCCUGGGUUACUCUGAGGCCAAUCGGCAUCAUGUGAGCAAUUUAAACCCAUGGUGUGCCCAAAGGCCAGCUUUUCCUACUUCUAGGUCUUCCCUCUCUGGGCCCCUCUGUCCAGGAGAGGCGGAUACACUCGACCAGAAGCAGAACCAUGGGCACAGGGAGUCUGCGUCAUGCUGGCUCAGCAUGGCUCUGCCCUUGAAACCCAGAGCCUAGAAUAAGGGGUCCCUGUACACCGCCAGAGUGCCUCACUGCCUCCCACCUAGAGCUCAGGUUUAAAGGCCUUCACUCGGUAUCAGGGUGCAGAGCUCUGAGUCUUCAGGGAAAAACAGCGGCCUCUUUGGGGGGGACAGGGAGGAACCUGCAGGGAACGACCCUCCCUUAACCCUCUGCUGGCCCUUCCAGGACAGAUCCCAGGUCCCAGAGUGAGAGAAGCUUCAGGCCACUUUGAAGUAUGAGGACAGGCAUGCUCAAAAUCGUCCCCCCUCCAGCACCCCCUUGACAGUGCCGAGCCUGAGACCAAGUGUAUUCCAGAGAAGUCUGUAUGCACCCAGGUCAUUCACACCUAGACCCAUUAAGCAGAGAGGGCUUGGGAGCCAGCACGUCACCAUGUCAUGCCCCUGCCUCCCAGUUUUCCGUAGAGCAAAGGCCAUACGAAAGAAGGGGGUAGCUUAGGAGGUAUUUGGGGAAAGCCAGACUCCAGCUAAAGCUGGUGAAUAGCUAUAAUCGGAAUAAGUGCAUUCUUGAGCAGCUGCGUAUUGGAGCGCCACAUAUUGGACCCAUACUUAGCAUGGACCCCAUUAGGCAACCGUCAUUGCAUUAUUCUGAGUAUUAAAAAAAAAAAUGUGGCAAGGGGAGUAAUAUCUCUAAAGUGGGGUUCGAAGCACAGUCACCUGGAAUCAGCCUUCCCUGCCAUAGACCCUUCCUUUAAUGCCUUACCACCUGUGGCAUAAGAAAUAACUCAAGCGGCCAAGAGCCAGCCACCUCCCCCUGGCUCUAGUUGUGGCGCCAUGCAACUGGUUGACUCUGGGUGGAUCUCAAGCGUGGCAGCCCUACACUUACUCUUCUGUUAAAUGGGGUCAUAAUACCCAUCUCCUCCUCCUGCCUACUGCACUGACAUUAUCAUUGUUAAAAUCCACUGAAAUGCCUGACUUUUACCUGUGUUCCCUUAAGACUCCUCCUCCAGGAGAAACUUGUGAAUUUCAUAGCAGCAUGUUUUUCCUUUUCCUUUUGAUGAUUCCAUUCAUUCAAGGUUCUUAGGGGAGGUCCCAGGCAGGGAAAGCGCCAUGAGAUGCCCACGCAGAGAUUCUUCCACAAGUCCAGGGGCCCCCGGCACAGUAGGACUUGAGGUUUGGGUGCAGCACUGUAGACAGCCCAGGAUCCAGCCACAAGGAAAGCUCUCCAAGGGGCCCUGGGACUGGCCUGGAGGCCCCACAGGGUUCCCUGAGCUCAGUACUGUGAAACCCCAGUGAAACAGGCACUGGCCUCUGCCUGACACAUAAAGGGGGGCAGGGCCAGCUCAGCCAGAGGGCAGUUUAGGAACAUCAGAGGAAGGGGCAAGCCCUGUAAGUGGAGUAGGUUGAGGAAGGCUUCCUGGAGGAGGAAGCAUGAAGGAAGAGGCAGGAUCUGGGUGGAAGGAAGACAACAAGAGGAUCUGGAACCAGAAGCUGAGGAUUUAAAGGCUCGGCGUGGGAGGAGGUGCUCUGGGCUGCAGGAGAUCCGGUGGGGAGCCCCAGCCCUGCCUUUCCCUGGCUGGGCGACCUCAGGCCAGGCCUUCUACCCUGAUGGUGGCUUCCUCACCCAUAAAACAUGGAGAGGUUAGAAGUCAUUUCAGACAUUCCUUCCAGCUUUGUUAUCCCAAAGCAGAUGCGCUAGGCAAACAGAGGGUGCCUGCUAAAAUGCCUGUUGCUGACUGAUUGGUUAGCGGGUUGACCAGUGCAGAGCAGGACCCAUCCCCAACUCUCCCCACCCGGCGGGUCUGGCCGGCUCCUUCCCACCCGCCUGGCCCCAUUUACAGAGUCUGGGGCCUGCUUGGCUUGUGUGUGCUGGCGGCAGCACCUGCUGGGUGGGCAGGGCGGCCUGCAGGGGGCACCAGUGUGCAAGGCCAGCCCUUCCUGCCUGCGGCCACCUCCCAGCAUCUUGGCAUCCUGGGGGCUGUCCCACAGGGAAGAUUUAAACUAUAUGAUGGUGACCGCCACCAAGCCACCCUCCUAUGUGCAAUUUUCAGACCCCUUGGGGUCCCAGCCCUGAGUCCAGAAACCUCAGGCUGAGAGUUGGACUAGAACCCACAGCAAGGGUCCCCUCCAGACCUCCAAAACGGGCCAGUGUAGUACUCAUUCCCAUUUUAUACCCAAGACAACCAGGGCUCUUGGAGGCCACAGGAGGGCCACCGAGGUCUCAGGUAGCUUAGAAGGAGGACAGAGCAUGGGUCCUGGAUUCCCUGGGAACAGUGCCUGCCCAGAGACCCAGCUGCCCUUAGGAACGAAUGAGUAUCAACCAGCUGAGGCUGCAUUUUCUUAAAAUGCAUUGGUUUGUCUAGUGUUGUUUAUGUUCUUUCUCAAACAGCAGGAAGAGGUUGUGGGAAGAGCCCUGGCUGUCAACAGGCUUCUCCCAUGCAGUAGGGGUGGACAGAGGGACUGCAGCCAGGGUCAAGGGCAGGCCAUGGGGCGGUGGGACAGAGAGCAGGCCGCAGCCUCAUCUGGCCUCAGUAGCCUUGUACAGAGGCAAAGGGGCUUCCGUGUGGGGUGUCAGCUCCUUCCACACCUGCCUGGACCCGGAAACAGGCAUGCCUUGAGUCACCAGCAGUGGGCAGCCGUAGAGUCACUGUUUCAACACCGCCAAUUUGUUGGUCCCACGCCUGGGGCCCCUGUGGUCAUUGCAGUAUGUUUUAUGGAACAUUCUGUGAGGAUUCCUCUUGGGGUUUUUUAGCAGCCACCCGUUAGGAUGUUCCUAAAGUAGAAGGCAAACAGCCCACAGGGCCUCAGAAUUCUAGAAAAAAUGUCUGUGCACAGCAUGGGAGCCUGAGCCAGGAGGGCAUUCUCAGCCAUCUUCUAAGGAGCCAGGUAGAAAAAUGGGGUCGAUUCUAUUGUAGUUACUUCCUUAUUUUAGCUAUUCAUUCAGAAAUGUUAGCUGUUCAAAGGGUAUGUCAUUUAUCAAUCAGGAGGCGGGAGCCCCAGGUCUGCAGGAGUGCAGGGGAGGAUGUGAGCAGGUCAGUCACAAGCUAACUUAGAACAAGCAUUCAAUCCCCCAGAAAAUGCACCGGGGAAAGCCACAGGCAUUCCCUUUUGGUAGAAAAGGUCCCUGGUCUAUCUUCAUCGAUGGGACUCUCAUCCGGGGUUUGUACCAGGGGAACCUGGCCAGGGGAUGGCCGUUCAGCCUCUGGGCAUGUUGGCAGAAGGGGUAGUUCAUGGUGUGCCCUGGGCACCCCAUUUCUGAUUUCUACCCCUGAGCCAGGAAGGCCUCUCCCAUCAACCACCGUGGGACUGUGAAGCAGGUAACAGGCAGAGGUGGUGGGGGUGUCCAGGGGCCUGAGGUGGCGGUGAGGAUGGGCAUGGAGUACUACACUUCAUUGAAAUGCCAGCAGCCAGGAGGUGAGCACCUUGGGUUGGGAGUGCUCCCUGAACCCCAGAACUGGAGGCGUUCUGGGGGCAUUCUCACUAGCACCGCAUCGGGACACAUCAGUCCAGCAGGUCGCGCUGGUCCCUGGGGAGCCCAGAAUGACAGUUUGUUUCUUUUUGUUCUGGCUGACAAUGAUGCCACAAAGCUGUUUCAGCCCUGACUGAGAGUACAGGAUCUGGACAGCCCCGAUUUGAAUCCUAAGUUUAAUACUUCGUAGCUGUGUGGCCUGGGCAAGUGGUUUUCCCUCUCGGGGCCCCAGUUUUCCAUUUAUAAACUGGGGUAAUAGAUAAUACCUGCCUCCUUUGGGUGGAUGAGGCUUGAAUGGUGGGGACGAUGGUGUUAGUAUAAACACAACAUUGACUGGUGUCGCUCAUGUCUGGGGGUUCCUGUCAGGGGUCCAACAGGAACACCAGUUACUCCUCCUUUGCCAUUGGGCCAGCUCUCUGCAGUCACUGGCUGGAUACCAGCUGUAUGCAUACACUGUGGGCCAUAAGUAUCCCUUAGACCUUUGUGGGUGGGGGUUAACAGCCCCAUUUUAUACAUGGGGAAAGAAAGUUCCAGAGAGCUUAGGAGGUAUACGUCAAGUCACGCAGCUGGUCAGUGACAGACAGAACUGGAGCCAAGUCCCUGGUACCCCACACUCUGUCUCCUCAGAACACACUGCCACCUGCAUGCCCUGAUUGGUCAGGAGUGCAUCUGGAGGGGGUCAGUUAUAAGGCUGAGGAGAGGUGACAGGGAAACGAGAUAAGAAACAUGCCAUUUAGGUGGCCAUGCUUUCAGAGCCUCCUCCCCACAGGCCAGGCCUUGGGCUCUCCCCACUGCCAUCUUAUGACCAAAAGAAUUGAGAGACAGCUUCCCGGCCAGCGCUUAGCAGCGGGCUUGGGUCUGCUGCCUCCUUUCCUGUCUUGCCGGGGGUGGGGGAGAGUCUCCACCAAGCUGCAGACAGACAGAAGAAUGGUUCCUUGUCCUCCCAAGGGGGACAAGACUUCUCCAUGUCCUUCCUUCCCACUGGGCUGGUUUCCAACCCACCACCUUCAUGAUUCGUGAAUGCAAAGAGAAGACCACUUAGAUCGGUAUGUUUUGCUUCCACUUGGCAGCCCUAGGUGCUGGAGGCUGCAGCUCUGGGUGAAGGUGGGCCCUGGUCUGUGGGGUAUGGGCAUCUGUGAGCACCAUCUGCAUGCAGCCCCGGAGGUCAGGUGGCAGAGUCUCCCAUGACAGGUUCCAGCAGCAGAAGUCCUAAGGAAGCAGCUUGUGUCUCAGAUGAGGCUGUGUACCUCCGUUGCCUGUCUAGGCUGGAGGAAGGGUGAUGGCACCUUUAACUGGUCCCUUCCUUACAGAUCACUAAGUGUAAGAGGCCAAGCCUGCAAA